This 107-nucleotide small nuclear RNA is filed under the name Chlamydotis macqueenii (Macqueen's bustard). The record is from RNAcentral. Lineage: Eukaryota; Metazoa; Chordata; Aves; Otidiformes; Otididae.
GUACUUGCUUUGGUAGCACAUAUACUAAAAUUGUAACGAUACGGAGAAGAUUGACAUAGCCCCUGCAAAAGGAUGACACACAAAACAGCAAAAAAAAAUCCCUGGAG